This 320-nucleotide ribosomal RNA is filed under the name bacterium endosmybiont of Otiorhynchus armadillo. RNAcentral describes it as "bacterial SSU rRNA". It matches the Rfam family "Bacterial small subunit ribosomal RNA", at positions 25 to 336 of the family's 1533-position model. The record is from RNAcentral.
CAGGAUGAACGCUAGCUACAGGCUUAACACAUGCAAGUCGAGGGGCAGCAUGGAAGAAGCUUGCUUCUUCUGAUGGCGACCGGCGCACGGGUGCGUAACGCGUAUCAAACCUGCCUCAUACUCGGGGAUAGCCUUGCGAAAGUAAGAUUAAUACCCGAUGUUGUUAUGUUACCGCAUGGUGAUAUAACCAAAGAUUUAUCGGUAUGAGAUGGUGAUGCGUCCGAUUAGGUAGUAGGCGGGGUAACGGCCCACCUAGCCUUCGAUCGGUAGGGGUUCUGAGAGGAAGGUCCCCCACACUGGAACUGAGACACGGUCCAGAC